Dicentrarchus labrax (European seabass) is the source of this 432-nucleotide non-coding RNA. The record is from the annotation of a RefSeq genome assembly. NCBI's taxonomy places the organism in Eukaryota, Metazoa, Chordata, Actinopteri, Moronidae.
CUGACUGCAGAGAGGAUGACAGAGAACAGUGGAAACACAGUUUAACAUGAUGGACUAUAGGACAGGACUGCUGCUGUUAACUAUCUGCUGGGCAGGUGUUGAUGGUCAGACUCUGACAGAAUCUGAACCAGUGGUUAAAAGGCCUGGAGAAUCUCACAGAUUGACCUGUACAGCCUCUGGAUUCACAUUCAGCAGCUAUCAUAUGAACUGGGUCAGACAGGCUCCUGGAAAAGGACUGGAGUGGAUCGCUUUCAUACAUACAGGCAGUUCUCACAUCUAUUACUCCCAGUCAGUCCAGGGUAGAUUCACCAUCUCCAGAGAUGACUCCAGCAGUAAACUCUAUCUACAGAUGAACAGUCUGAAGACCGAGGACACAGCAGUGUAUUACUGUGCCAGAUGAGACACAGUGAGAGACAAUAACAGAAGAGUCAU